Non-coding RNA from Lentinus tigrinus ALCF2SS1-7, 103 nucleotides. NCBI's taxonomy places the organism in Eukaryota, Fungi, Basidiomycota, Agaricomycetes, Polyporales, Polyporaceae. The record is from the annotation of a GenBank genome assembly.
GGUGAGAUGGCCGAGCGGUCUAAGGCGCCAGACUAAGGCAAAUCCAUUGAGAUGCUGUCCAAUCUGGUCCGAAAGGGCGUGGGUUCGAAUCCCACUCUCAUCA